UAAAAUUCAUAUAUUACGACUCAUUAAUCAAUGUGUGUGUAUAUACACACACACAUAUCAACAUGACCUAUUCACUGCGAGAUCUUUUGAGUAUUAAUACGCAGCCUGAAAUUCACCGUGUAUUGACUAACAAUUUACGCACUCAAAAUGAUACUCCUUCCAUUCCAAAAUUAAAGAUACUGACAACACUAAAUAUAAACAUAGAAUGCAGCUCAAGAUCCCAAGUCUAAA
Molecule: long non-coding RNA, 231 nt
Filed under: Panax ginseng (ginseng)
Lineage: Eukaryota; Viridiplantae; Streptophyta; Magnoliopsida; Apiales; Araliaceae
Description: long non-coding RNA (PGIN_LNC009289)
Source: RNAcentral